GGUAAGGUGGCUGAGUGAAGCGGUAGACUGUAAAUCUAUUUACGAGGAUUUUCCCUCCCUUACCA
Molecule: transfer RNA, 65 nt
Filed under: Varanus storri
Lineage: Eukaryota; Metazoa; Chordata; Lepidosauria; Squamata; Varanidae
Description: tRNA-Tyr
Rfam family: tRNA
About the family: Transfer RNA (tRNA) molecules are approximately 80 nucleotides in length. Their secondary structure includes four short double-helical elements and three loops (D, anti-codon, and T loops).
Source: RNAcentral